RNAcentral lists this long non-coding RNA (194 nucleotides) under Lepeophtheirus salmonis (salmon louse). RNAcentral's name for it is "uncharacterized LOC121131092". The record is from RNAcentral. Lineage: Eukaryota; Metazoa; Arthropoda; Copepoda; Siphonostomatoida; Caligidae.
GAAUUAAAUGUAUGUCCACACAAUUCCAAAUCUUCUCGCGGCUCUCCUAUCCUAUGAAGUUAUAAGUUGGAACAAACACUGGCCAAAAACUCAUCAGACAUGUGGCCCUACACCUUAUCAACCGAGGCUUUCAUUUUAAUACAUUUGUGUCUCCUUCCCUCUUAUUUCUUGUAUAUAUAUAUGUUUGCAAAGUA